Molecule: long non-coding RNA, 516 nt
Organism: Prinia subflava (tawny-flanked prinia)
Lineage: Eukaryota; Metazoa; Chordata; Aves; Passeriformes; Cisticolidae
Exons: 3
Source: RefSeq, a predicted model, not a curated record
CCCCCUUUUCCCCCAGCCCCAAAUCCCCUCGAUCCUCUUCUCUUUUUUCGGGUUUUCCCCCUCAUUUCCCUCCUUUCCCGCUAAUUCCCCUCUCCGCUCCGCACGCCCAUCCCGAGUCCCUCCCUGCCCAGCCCGGGGCAGCCGGGCCGGGCUCCGCCGGUGCCGCCGGGGCCGGUCCCGGCCCGGAGCCGCGUCCCGCCGGGGGUGAGGGGCAUCACCCAGCGCCCACUACUCACUGUCUUCCUCUCCUUGCCCGCGGCUUGGGGUCAUGCGGGGCCGACGCAACCCUGGAGCUCCCAAUCCAGACCCCAGCAGAAAGUUCCUACUGCCCUUUGCCCGCUGCCGCGCCGGCGCCUUUAUAGCGCGGGGAGCCCUGUGUCCGUGCAUCCAAGACACGUUGCAGGCGAAGCCUCCUCCAAUCCUGCCCCGGCGACUCGAAAAGCCCUGGCCGGGCUCCAGGCUGAAGAUGUGUCUUUAAUUUUUGCAGCAUGACAGAAAAGAAAAGAAUGUCAUCGG